ACUCCUACGGGAGGCAGCAGGCGCGCAAAUUACCCAAUGGCAACUCAGCCGAGGUAGUGAAAAGACAUACAAGGGACUGUCUUAAUGAUGGUCCACUUGAAUGAGAGAGUUUCAAACGUACUCUUGAGUAACAAUUAGAGGGCAAGUCUGGUGCCAGCAGCCGCGGUAAU
This 170-nucleotide ribosomal RNA is filed under the name uncultured bacterium. RNAcentral describes it as "partial 16S ribosomal RNA". It matches the Rfam family "Eukaryotic small subunit ribosomal RNA", at positions 412 to 583 of the family's 1831-position model. The record is from RNAcentral.